AUACGUAGGGGACGAGCGUUGUCCGGAAUUACUGGGCGUAAAGGGCGCGCAGGCUGUUUGACAAGUCAGCUGUUAAAUAUGGGGGCUUAACCCUUAUAUGCGGUUGAAACUAUCAGACUGGAGUGCUGUAGAGGCAAGUGGAAUUCCCAGUGUAGCGGUGAAAUGCGUAGAUAUUGGGAAGAACACCGGUGGCGAAGGCGACUUGCUGGGCAGCAACUGACGCUGAGGCGCGAAAGCCAGGGGAGC
Molecule: ribosomal RNA, 246 nt
Filed under: uncultured bacterium
Lineage: Bacteria
Description: partial 16S ribosomal RNA
Rfam family: Bacterial small subunit ribosomal RNA
Source: RNAcentral